This 524-nucleotide ribosomal RNA is filed under the name Polyaulon sp. BFS-2018. Its description in RNAcentral is "partial 16S large subunit ribosomal RNA". The stretch from base 389 to 524 matches the Rfam family "Archaeal large subunit ribosomal RNA", at positions 2542 to 2677 of the family's 2987-position model. Lineage: Eukaryota; Metazoa; Arthropoda; Insecta; Hymenoptera; Ichneumonidae. The record is from RNAcentral.
CAAAAACAUCUCUUUAAGUUAAUAAUUUUAAGUCAAAUCUGCUCAAUGAAUAUAUUUUAAAUAGCUGCAGUAUUUUAACUGUACAAAGGUAGCAUAAUCAAUAGUUUUAUAAUUUAAAACUGGAAUGAAAGAUUUAAUGAAAUAAAUAUUGUCUCAGAAUUAAUGAUAUUAAAAAUUUAAUUUUAGUAAAAAUUCUAAAAUAAAUUUAAAAGACGAGAAGACCCUAUAGAAUUUUAUAAAUUAAGAUUUAAUUUAAUUUAAAAAUUAAAUUUUAAUAUAUUAAAUUGGGGAAAUUUUUAAAUUUAAUAAAUUUUAAUUUUUAUUAUACAAGAGUAAUUGGUUUAAAAUGAUUAAAUUUAUUUUGAUUGAAAGAAUAAAUUACCUUAGGGAUAACAGCGUAAUUUUUUUAGAAAGAUCUAAUAGAUAAAAAAGUUUGCGACCUCGAUGUUGAAUUAAGAUAAAAUUUUAAAGAAGAAAAUAAAAAUUUUUGGUCUGUUCGACCAUUAAAAUCUUACGUGAUCUGA